Molecule: ribosomal RNA, 241 nt
Filed under: uncultured bacterium
Lineage: Bacteria
Description: partial 16S ribosomal RNA
Rfam family: Bacterial small subunit ribosomal RNA
Source: RNAcentral
UGAGUAACCUGCCUUUCAGAGGGGGAGUAACGUUCUGAAAAGAAACGCUAAUACCGCAUGAGACUACAGAGCUGCAUGGCUCAGUGGUCAAAGGAGCAAUCCGCUGAAAGAUGGACUCGCGUCCGAUUAGAUAGUAGGCGGGGUAACGGCCCACCUAGUCGACGAUCGGUAGCCGGACUGAGAGGUUGAACGGCCACAUUGGGACUGAGACACGGCCCAGACUCCUACGGGAGGCAGCAUG